This 1707-nucleotide non-coding RNA is filed under the name Pongo abelii (Sumatran orangutan). Lineage: Eukaryota; Metazoa; Chordata; Mammalia; Primates; Hominidae. The record is from RNAcentral.
CCAUCCUCAUCCAGCCUGUGAUGAUGGAGCUGUUUUCACCAGAAACGUGAGGAGACUCAUACCACUUGAGUUCUGCUUAAAUUCAGCAUCUUCUCUCAGUUCAAAUUUAAGAAAAGAGAUACCACACCACCCACCCACACAUCCCAUUCCGGAACAGUAUACAAACUAAAGAUAGAAAACUUCUCAAAUCUACCUGGAAGUUGCAUAUUCAAAGGAACUAUUUGUUGGAGUGCCAGAUUAUUUAAGGGCCUUUGCAUGUUUCAAGUCCUCUUCUUAAAGUAAGAAUACUCUCCACAUUUAUAAUAGCAACAAAAACACCAAUGUCAGCACAAAAUGCAAAAACGGAGGCACUUCUAUGUCAUAAUGAUACAUCAGAGUUCUGCUCAACUCUUUUUUAGAAAAAGAAGCUCAGACUUACACACAUCCACUUUCUUAAGUAAAUAAUUGUUCAAUGAAAGUUACCCUGGGAGGAUUGCUGUCUCCAGCUCCCAAGCACUGCUCAUCUGCUGAGCGGGGGGACUCUGACUGUUACGGAAAUUGCUCUUAAAUGUAUAAAACACAGAAGAGAAUUUUUGGAAAAUCCCUUAUUAUUCAUUAAAGCAUUUUCGGGCCUCAUUAAUCCAGAUGGGUUAAUCGGUUGUUGAUUUGCCAGGUUGUUAAGCAUCCAUUGUCAGAUGCUGAUGGGGUGUGAGAAAAUAUAAUUCCGAUCUACCAAAGAGUCACCUGAAUGAGGCUAGCACUUCAUCAGGGAAGGCUGUAUCUUCCUCAGGGAAGGCUGUAGCUUCCUCAGAGAAGGCUGUAGCUUCCUCAGAGAAGGCUGUAUCUUCACCAGGAAGGCUGUAUCUUCUUCACCAGGGAAGGCGAUAUCUUCCUCAGAGAAGGCUGUAUCUUCACCAGGAAGGCUGUAUCUUCACCAGGGAAGGCUGUGUCUUCCUCAGGAAAGGCUGUAUCUUCACCAGGGAAGACUGUAUCUUCAUUAGAGAAGGCAGUAUCUUCUGGGGAUAAAUUAAGCUGGAUGCCCAGUUUCUUCUUUAAUCUCCAAAACUUCUCUGUAUCACAAAACAUUCCUCAUUCUUUGGGUGUUUUUUUUGUUUUGUUUUGUUUUGUUUUGUUUGCCUACCUAAGGUCUGAAACGAUGUCAGAAGCCAUUUUCAAAAGCUAGUUGGUAACAGGUCAACAGGUCAGUUGCACAUAUGCACUUAGGCACAGAAACCCAAUAUUUAAAGAUGUGUGUGUGUGUGUGUGUGUGUACAUGUCUGUAUACGUGUAUACACGUCUGUGUAUACGUUUGUGUCUACACAUGUUUACACGUCUAGACGUGUAUGUUUGUGUCUACACGUCUAUACGUGUAUACAUUUCUGUGUAUAUGUUUGUGUCUACAUGUGUCUAUGUGUUUGUGUAUGUGUCCGUACGUGUAUAUUUGUGUGUGUCUGCGUGUGUGUGCAUGAGUUCGGCUUUGACUUUGUUUCAAAGUUCUUAGCUAGAGCCUGUCCACAUCUUUAGCCCUUCAGAUACAAAUGGUAUUUGGGUUAUCGAGGGGAUUCUUUAGCCAGGGCUUAAAAACUCAACUUUCUUUCCAAACCUUGACUGACUGACAGUCACAUAACAGCAGUGAGCACAGUGAGAAAAGUCCCUGGAUUAGAAGUUGGAAAAUAUGAUUCAGAGUCCUGGUUCUGUUUUAAAAGAGGAAGUGACCAUCAUUAGCAA